GUUUGUUUGUCUCGGCUCCAGUCAUCACUGCCACGAUUACCCCUGGAUGAAUUCCCCAGUGGAAAUAUCAACAAGGUUGAAGACUCAGAUUGACCCCUCCAAUACUGCAGGAAAGUGGAGGAAGAGGAAAUUUGGACACACAGAAAGAUAUAAGAUGAAUGUAUACACAUAGAGGAAACGCCAUGUGAGGAAAGACCACAGUGAGAAGGUCUGCUGCCAACAGACAGGCUUCAGAAGGAGCCAACUCUGCAAACAACUUGGUCUUGGACUUCUAACCUACAGAACUAUGAGAAAAGAAAUUUAUGUUGUUUAAGUCAUCCAGUCUAUGAUAUUUUUGUUAUAUAUUUACUUUUGUAAGAGUACUCUGGUAAACCUUUUACACACAAUCCUAAUAAGAAUCCUGUGAUGUAGAUAUUUUUGAGAUCCCCAUUUUACAGAUAAAGAAAUGGAAGAAUUGAGAUGUUAAUUAACUUUUUUAUGGUCAAACAGCCAGGGUUUGGAAUGUAGGCAAUUUGAUUCACACUGCUCCCUCUACCUGAUAUACCUUCCCCUUCACUUCUGAAUGGUAAAUUCUAAUCAUCUGUAAAGUCAGAGGAUACAGCUCUUUUCACUAAAUUUCUCCACUUUGGCUUCAAAUUUAUACUGUGAUAUUUGCUUUACUUUAUGUUUUGUUCCAAAUUUGUUGUAGAUGCCUGCUCAGGAAUCUGCUUAGCUCUCCAGGAUGGGGGCCUCACAUUAUUCGCCAUAGCCCUUUGACAUUAAACCUAGACCCCUUCUGAAGUGAGAGCCUAUUAUGGGCUGAAUUGGUACCUGGAUCCUGAUUGCUGACUGAUAGGUAUCCUGGCUAUACACAUGCCAAUUUACAUGUCUAUAAAAAUUCACUUGUUUCAGAAUUCCAUGUUCUAUUCUCUGUUACAUGUGUAGGAAUCUCUGCCAGCCUGAUAUUAAUUACAUCCCCGAAUCAUGAUUGUUCAUAUUUCCCUAUAGCCUUUAUAUAUAGUGUUCUACUCUUUACAUCAACUUUCCCCAGAAUCAGAAGUUCAGUCUCCCCUAAUGCCCUUAGCUUACUGUGCAUAGUCUGUUUCCACGACUCUGCUUAUCCUACACAUGACUGCUGUUAAGCAGGCAAUGUCCAGGCAUGACCUGUGAUAGUCAAUCCUUACAUUUCUGUUAAUGAUUCACUCAUUCAUUCACACAUGCAUUCACUUAUUUAUUUGUUCUUCUGUUUUUCCAUCUAACUAGGAACUUUUUAUAUGCCAGGUAUAAUGUAGAUCAAGGUCAGUUUCCUGAUUUGAUACUAAAAACAUCAACAAGCUUUUAAUGCUACUAACAGUCUGCAAAAAUAUUACCAAAUUAUCCUACACUAAAAUGUAAUUUGAAAACAUAUCACUGAUGAGAUUCAGUAUCUUUCUACUUGUCAACAGGAAGCAAUCUAAAAGAAAAACAGUAACAAGUUGCAAACUAAGAAAUUAAAACAUGUCAUGAGGAUAUGUUAAAUGAAGGCUAGUUGUGGUGUGAUGAUAAGGGACAACUGAAAUUUUCGAGGAUCUGGAAUACUGAAAAAGGAAUACUGUGGAAAAAGACAGAUUGGUGCUGCUCUGGGACUGCCUAUGAGAGAGAAACUCAAUCCAGAACUAGGGUGUUAGUGAUGGUGACAACUGAAUUGAAUAAUGAGUCCAAUUUAGCAAACAUUUUUGAGCAACCCCUAAAUACUAGACAAUUGUAGGAUGCAAAUGGAAAUCAGAUAUAGUCCUUCUCCUCAAGUAGUGGGGAAAAGAGACACAUAAAAUCCUAGCUUUACUAGAAGUAGGAGUGAGGCAAGUGUGGCUGUCGGCAAUAUCAAGCAGCACCUCAGAUGUGCUAUUAUCUGAAGUGAUAUCAGAUGCUGUCAAGAUCCAAAUUUUCUAGGCUUCCCUCUUAAUGAAAUGAACAUAGUACAAUUCCCAGACUUCUGUCUGAUAGUAGAAAACAAGAAAGAAAAAAGUGGAGAUCAGUGCAUUUUGGUGGGUAAUACGGGAACUAUGCUGGAUAUUUAAUAUUUUCCUCUCCCAAUCCAUUUCAUUCUUCUCCACUCUUCUCCCUGCAUAUAAGUUAUACAGUCUAUGGUAUUUUGUUACAGCAGUACAAACAGAUGAAGACACUACAUUCUGAAUUUAAACAAGUUUCUGCUGUGUCAAAAUUGAGACGAGUAUGCACUGACUAGCUGAUAAAAUCGAUUCUAUUUAAUUGGAAUGAUAUUUCUCACUACAAAAUAAUAAGGUAGUAAUAUGACUGAUAAAUCUUUCACAUGCACUUAGAUUUGUAAAUCAACUGGUUAACCUAGAAAACCAAUAAAAUUAGAUUUCUGAACUCUGCACAGAUGAAGAUGAGACUUCGAAGUAGAAGGGAAAUAGGAAACUCAAGUAACUAGCCAACCUUACCCAAUCCUACAGGAAUAAUGCAUAUUUAGAGUAGCUGGUCUAGUAUGGUGAUACAGACCUAACCAUAAUCUAAUUACCAGGCUUAGAGUCGAGUCUGCUGCUGCCCAUGAAAAAUAGUUAAAAUAACUAGUCCUUAGAGGAUUUCAGGAUUGUUAGUACUGUGCUCAGAAAUGGAUGUCCCUCAGGUUCUAAGGAAACAGGGCUCUGCAGAAUUGUAACUACUGGAUACAACCACAGGGUUUUAACAUUUAAAGAUAACACUGGUCAGUCUGAUCUACCAUCCAGGCAGCCCAGUUAGCCAUGGGAAAACCGGAAGUGAUUUUCUUAAAUACAUUUUCUAACAAAGCUUAAACGUGAUAGAAAUAUUGAAAUAUGGUUUAAUUCUCUUGAUUGAAAAAGAAAAUGUGAUCUGUAAAUGAUUCUAUAAACUUUUGACUUAAUUUA
Macaca mulatta (Rhesus monkey) is the source of this 2864-nucleotide non-coding RNA. The record is from RefSeq and is a predicted model, not a curated record. NCBI's taxonomy places the organism in Eukaryota, Metazoa, Chordata, Mammalia, Primates, Cercopithecidae.